Molecule: long non-coding RNA, 33748 nt
Filed under: Lathyrus oleraceus (garden pea)
Lineage: Eukaryota; Viridiplantae; Streptophyta; Magnoliopsida; Fabales; Fabaceae
Description: Pisum sativum (pea) long non-coding RNA (PSAT_LNC031191)
Source: RNAcentral
UAUUCAAUAAAUUUAAAAAAUUAUUUUUUUAUUAAUAGAACUAAAGGAAGUAGUAUACAAAAUAGUAUACAAAUACACUUUUAGGUUUAUCAUAACAUUUGAAAAGCAAGGGAAACAUCAAUAUAAUUUAAAAGUAAAAUAUCAAGUACAAACAUCUGGCGUAAAAGUAAAGUUAUAUGCUUAGAAGUGAUAUAAUUAUUUUUAAACUUAAUCAAUCCUCGGCUAUCAUUCUAUAUUGACAAUGACGAUCAAUACACUUCAUAACUAAAGGUAAAGUCUUCUCUGGACAAUCACUGUUUUCAACACAAGGAAUGCGAAAUACACCACGAUGAAAAGCUGCAUUGUAGUGUUAAAAUGUUACUAAAAAAUAUAUGUAUUUAUAAAAAAAAAUAUUUUUUAAAUUUAUUUAUUAAAUAAUAUAUCUGGACAAAAUAUAAAUAAGAUAUAUUAGUUAUUGAAUUAAUUUAAUUUUUUAUUAUUUAUAAAUAGAACUAGAAAUAAUAUUAGAUAUGAUAUCAUGCAUAAGAUAAAUUACAAAGUUUUGAAAACAGUUUGAAAAAGAACAUACCACCAUUGGUUACGACAAAAAAUAGAGGAAAUAAUAUGAUAAGAGUACAAACAAACAUGAUAAUUUGAGCCAUAUUUUUCCUCCUUUUGCAUAUAGAUAAUAAAUAUUAACUACUUUGUGCGCUUUAUAGAAAACUUCCACUCUUUGUCAACUUCAAAUAAUAGUUUUUAGUAUUAGGACUUGUAGAAAGCCAAAUAUAAAAUUAGAAUUAAUGCUAAAGAUUCCAUAUAAAAUUUUGAUUAACGUCAAAGGUUAAUAUUUUUAUUAUUAAACUUUAUUAUAUAUGUUUUUUUAUUUAACUCUUAGCCCUUCGUAAUAGUGAGAAAGACAUGUAAAAUAGAUACAACAAUAAUAAAUAAUAAAUGAAAAAAAAGAGUUGUAUAAACAUCGAGGAUGUGAAAAAAAUACUUAUAAAUUAAAAGUACUAUAGGAUGAUUUAUCUUUAAAAAAAUUUUUUAUAUCAAAGUGUGGAAAUUGUACAAUUUGAGAUAAUUAAGUUUUAUCAUUUGCACAAAAAAAAAUAUUAUUUAAUUAGUUAUGUAUUUGUGACACGUUAAACUUUAAGUGAAAAUAUAAAAUAAAUUUCACUAGUUUUUAAAAGGUACAAUGGUUUCAAAAUAAAAUAUAACAUGUUAGUUUCAAAUAAAGGCUAUAUUUUCAUAAAAUUUUGUUUAUAAACUCAAUUAUAAUUUGUUUGAGUCAAAACAUAUGGUUUACCAUUUGAAGACAUAUGGAUUUCAAUUCAUUCACAAAGCUUAGAGACAAUUUGUUUUUUCCUUCAAAAAUCACAUGCUAAAAAUCAAUACCUGGCCAAUUGAUAAAGACGAACAUUCAAUGAAUUAUACAUUUUGAGAGAAUUGAAUUCUCACUGAAGAAUUGAUUUCAAUCGUUAAUAGUUAGAAUAGUAAAUUAAUAUAAUAUAGUGAUGAUUAAUAAAUAUAUAUAAAAGAUAUAUAAAUUAAUUAGUUUUGACAUGUGAAAAUAUAUAUUUUAAUAAAUAAAAAAAUAAAAAAAUAAAGUAAUUAUUUACUUGUGCGUUUGUAUGUGUCACAUAAUAUCGAAAUAGUAAAUAAAUAUAGUAUAGUGAUGGUUAAAAAAUUUAUAUCAAAGAUAUAUAAAUUAAGUAGUUUCGAUCCGUCAAAAAUGUAUAUUUUAAUAGAAACAAUAAAUGAAAUAAUUAAAAUUAAAUUAUGAUAUUAUUUUAAUAAAUUAUUAAAAUUAAAAUUAAAUUGUGAUUUUUAAAACCUAUCUUAUAAUAUAUAAAUAUAUAUUAAGAUGUGGGUCUGGAUUGAGUUUGGUGAAACAUUGUGUCCAUUAUCUUUAAAAUUUAAAAAUGAGAUUAAGUUUAAUUACAUAAAAAAAAUCCAUAAUUUGACCCAUAUCACAUGUUUUUAAAGAAACAGUUCACAAUUAAUAAUUUUAAAUUAUUUAUUUAGAAAUUACAAUUACCAUUUAAAACUAUUUAUUCAACUUUUUAAUAUGGUAGUCAAUUUUAAUUAACACAGAUUAAAAUAACUAUACCAAUUAUAUUUAAUUCUUAAUUUUAUUUUACUAUUUUUAUAUAACUUCAAUACUAAUUAUACAUAAUUAUAUAUCUAUGUAAAUUGUAUUUUUAAAUAAUAAUAUGGUAAUAUUUAUACUAAAACUUGCUAUAAAUAUUUGUUUUAAUAAAAAAAUAUGAGACCAUUAUGAUUUAUGAAAAACACAACUUUCUUAUAAAAAACACAAAUUUGUCAUUCUUUUUAUUCAAUUUAUUUUAUUAUAUAUUAAAUAUUUAUAAAAAAGAUUUAUAAAUUAUUCAAUUUAUUAUUAAGUAUGCAAACGAGUUUUAAAAGACUAAAAUUGAUAUAAAUAUGAAUGUCUAUAAAAUUCGUAUCUCCUUCUUCUUUAUUAUUAAUCAAUAUUAUAAAUUAUUAGUAAUUAAUUAUAAUUACUAGUAAUACUAAUCAAAAAAUUAUUAUUAUGUUGCUUCAAUACUAAAAUUAACUAUUAAUAUUAUAUAUUUUAUAAUGUAUCCUUUUAUAAUUAAUUUGAUUUAUCCUUCAAUAAUAUAUUAUUUUAUAAUUUCUCCUUCAAUAAUUGAUUUAUUAUUCAAUAUAUGUUUUUGUUUACUUAAAAACAUAUAAUUUUUUUUCAAUAAUUAAUUUAUUCUUCAUUAAUAUAUUAUUUUAUAAAUUUUCAUUUAUUAAUGAUUAUUUUUAAUUAUUAAUAAUACUCAUAAAGAAAUAACUGAUCCCAUAAUUUCUAUUAAGAUAAUUUCUCAUAUAUAAUUUCUGUUAACAUAAUACUUCUGUAAUUUCUGACAAUACACUAACAUCUUUUAAAUUAAAUUAAUAUUUUUACCACAUUCAUAAUUUAAAAAUACUUUUUCAUUUUUAAAUUUUUUUUUUUAUCUAAUUAUUAAACAUCACCAUAUUAUAUUUAUUUACUAUUUAUAACAACAUUGCGCGACACGUGCGAACCCACGAGUAGAUUAGUACUUAAUUAUUUCAUUUAUUAUUUCUACUAAAAUAUACAUUUCCGACGGGGCGAGACUACUUAUUUUAUAUGUCUUUUAUAUAAAUUUCUUAAUCAUCACUAGACUAUAUUUAUUUACUAUUUAUAACGACAUUGUGCGACUCGUGCGAACGCACAGGUAGAUGACUACUUUAUUAUUUCAUUUACUUUUUCUACUAAAAUAUACAUUUUCGAUGGACCAAAACUACUUAAUUUGUAUAUCUUUUAUAUACAUUUCUUAACCAUCACUAUACUAUAUUUAUUUACUCCCUCCGUUUCUUUUUAAGUGUCGUUUUAGAAGAUUUUUUUUGUUCCUAUUUAAGUGUCGUUUUGAUGUUUUAAUGUUACAAUUUGUCAAUUAUACCCUUACUAUUUAAAUAACUCAACUUGUAUAUUUUCCAUAAAUUUUUCUUUCUUAAUAUAUGUAAUAACUCACUCCACAUUUUCCAUAAAAUUCUCUUUCUUAAUACGUACUCUCAUUCCCAUACAUAACUCCCAUUCCUUUCAAAGUAUUGGCUGGUCAAUAAAAAUGCAAUAAGUUUUCCUUUAGCCAUUAAUGAAAAUGCAAGCAGUACGUAUUCCUAUAGCAAGCAAUAUUAAUUCCAAAAAUUUAGGAGUAGUUGAAAAAUGCAACGGAAGAGAGAGAGAGUUAUGUGGAGAAAAUUAUGGAAUUAGUUAUUUGAAGUAAAUAAUUUAAUGAGUACUUAUAUUAAUGAAUUUUAUUUAGGAAAGAGAAAGUAUAUGGUGGAUUAAAAUGAGGGUACAAUGGGAAAAAAAUUAUAACAAUUCAUUUAUCUUGGUUGGAGAGCUUUAUGCUAAAACGACACUUAAAAAGAAACGGAGGGAGUAUUAUUUAAAACGACAUUUCACGAUCCGUUCGCACAGGUAGAUGACUACUUAAUUAUUUCAUUUUUUUUUACUAAAAUAUACAUUUCUGACGGGCUGAGACUACUUAGUUUGUAUAUAUUUUAUAUACAUUUCUUAUCCAUCUCCAAAUUAUAUUUAUUUACUAUUUAUAACGACAUCGCGCGACCCGUGUGAACGCACGAGUAGAUGACUACUUAAUUGUUUCAUUUAUUUUUUCUGCUAAAAUGUAUACUUCUGACGGACUGAGACUACUUAAUUUGUAUAUCUUUGAUAUAAAUUUCUUAACCAUCACUAUACUAUAUUUAUUUACUAUUUAUAACGACAUUGUGCGACCCGUGCGAACGUACGAGUAAAUGACUACUUUAUUUUUUUAUUUAUUUUUUCUACUAAAAUAUACAUUUCCGAUGGGCUAAAACUACUUAACUUGUAUAUCUUUUGUAUACAUUUUUAACCAUCACUAUAUUAUAUGUAUUUAUUAUUUAUAAUGACAUUGCGCGACCCGUGCAAACGCCUGAGUAGUAACUAAUUCAUAUAAAUUUUAUAUACAGUUUUUAAAAUUCAUUAUAUUAUAUUAAUUAACUAUUCUAACAACUUCCAAAAAAUAAACGACAUUGUGUGACCCGUGCAAUCGUUAAUUGUUAUAUAUUUGGGACUUUGUUUAUAUACAAUGCAAAGCUCACACAAACUCAUAACCAUUCCUACAUCAUAGAUAACAAUUUGUUUUCUACCUAAGGUGAAUGUUUGAUCCUUCAAGUUUUACUUCCCACAACUGAUAACCUUUUUUUACCCCAUGAAUAUCAAUUGAAGACACCAUUCGCAACCUUACUAUCAAGUUAGAUAAGUUUGACUUGAGCAAUAGGCAAAAAUUUGUCGACUUUCAAAAUAAAGUAGGUUACAAUUUUCAUAGUCCAAACCUCCAUAAGUAAUUGGAAAUUUAUUCCCGUAAAUAAACAUCUACCAAUAAGGUAUGCUACUUUGACACUUGCCUUACCACAAAAACACAAUGACAACUCACUGGUCAAAUACGUAUUUAUCAAGUGUCUUCUACAAAAUUCAUUAAAGUGAUAUGAAACAACAUCCAUAAUCUACCAUGCAUUGAACUUAAAUCUCAUAGCUUGUUCUUGUCAAUAAAGUCUUCAUUAGCUGAUGAAUGAACAAUAAAAUUGGAAUCUUCUAAAAUAUAUAACCCACAUAGCUUAGAUCAUUUACCCAUGACAUUCCACCAUGCAAAAUCUAUAAGACCCUAAGACCCCAUGUUUAAUUCUAAUGCAGUAUCCGAGAUCAUCAAACAUGCUUUGGAAUAAAAAGUAUUUUCUGAGCUAUAGAACAUACCUCACAUUAUACAAAAAACACUUAUGAUUAUUGAACAUUUUAAGUCUGAGCGUACCGACACCAUUUACCUUGCAAGCCUCAUUGUCAUUAAGGUGAACCACUCCACCUUCUUCCAUAUUCAAAGUCUCUAAGUAUUCUUUUUUUAGACACAUGUGAUAAAAAAAAUAUGAGUCCAUGACCGAAAUCUCUUUAGUUUCCAAACUCGACACCACUAGUGCAUCGACACUAUCAUAACUAUCCUAAUUCGAGGAAACAACAAUUUGAACAUGACUUUCAUUUUCUUUCCUCUUGGGACAAUCCUUCAUAAAGUGAUCGAGUUUGUCAAAAAUAAAUUUUUUUCUUAACUUGUUAAACCUCUUGGAUUUUACAUCCCUCUACACUCACUUACUCAUAUUUACAAACUUAAGCAGUCACCACUAUCAUUAUUCUUCAAAUAUUUAUGCUUUGACAAUUCUUUGGAUAUCACUUCCACCACGACUUCAUCAAAAGUAAUAACACAUUUCUUAUCAUAAAUAAGAGAGUAUUUGAAUUUCUCAAAGGAUCUAGAUAAUGAGCUUAUAAGAGUAUAGUCUCUUCCUCAUCAUCAAUCUUCACCAUAUUAUUAGCUAAAUCAUCAUUGAGCUUGUGGAAUUCUUCCAACUGCUCCACUGUAGAUUUGUUCACUAUCAUUUAGAAUGAAUAUAGUUUUUUUUCAAACACAACUUAUGAGGCAAAAAUUUGGUCAUAUACAAUGAUUCAUAUUUUCCCCAUAUCGAAACAAUAGUUUUCUCCCUGGGGACUUCCCUUAAAACUUUAUCCCAGAGACACAAUAUAAUGACACUCCCGAUCUUAUUCACCACUCGAUCUUCUAUACUUAUGUUAGGCGUUCAGAAACCAACACCCAAUGCUUCAAUGCAUCAUGAUAACAAUCCUUCAUCAUGUAAUUUUAUUAACAGUUUCAAAUGAUUUUAAUAGUAGUUAGUGAAGAAAGAAUUGAUUUUUGAUGAAAAUUUACAAUAUGUGAAGAAAAUACUUAAGCUAUCAAAAGUAAAAGAAAAGAGGAGUUUUGAAAAGUUUAAUAAUCCUUGAAGGUUCUGGAAAAGUCGUGCGACAAUGCAAACCAAUCGUGAUACAAUUCUAGAAAAUUAGUGCAAAUCGUGAUACGAUCAAAAGGAAUUAAAACACGAUGACUGACACACGCAAGCCUCUUGAAAUAGCAAAAUUUCAUAUUUGUUUGGGGGAUGGACUUUUUGGAGGUCAAAAUUAGUGCAAGAGAAGUGCAAGGGGUCAGAUUGAAGUUUUUCCUCCAUUGAAGACCAACUCUCUUCUCAUAUUUCAUGUACUAUUAUUCUAAACUUAUAAAAUAGAACCAAGUAAUUCAUUGAGUACUCUUUUAUUAAUUUUAGAUUUUAGUAUUAUUUAGUUAACUUUGAUCGUAAUAUAUUUUGUAUGUCGGCGAAUAUAUGAAAUGAACUUAGGUUUUAGUUGAUUACUGAUCAUAACUCUUAAAAUCUGACAUAAGUUCAUUGUUUAGAAUUAGUAAUUGUUUUGGUAAUAGAGAAAUAUUGUUCUAUGAUUUAGGGAUUAACACAAUUUAUAACUUGUUUUGAUUUCAAAUUCACAUGAGGAAUUAAGGUAUUUUUUUUAUAUAAAAAGAGAACAUUAUACACCAAAAACCGAGUAUGACGAAUAAGUUAAUUCAUCGUAAUGCUAGAAAAUCAUUUUAAAAAAAUUAACGUAAUUACCAAGCAUUAUUGAUAGUUAACCGAUUCCAAAAAGACAUAAUCACUUUUAUUUAUGAUAUAUUUUUUUAACAAUUUAUUUACUUUUAUGUUCUAAAAACAAACUUGUCAUGAUAAAUCUUCCAGUUUAAUAAUUUUAGUAUUUUUGAAUUGUGGUGUUGAAAUUCCACAAUCCAUGUGGAUACAUACACUUUUUUUAAAUAUGACAACUUGACAACAUCUUAGUUCACUUGGUAAUUUCGACAAGACAAUUAUUUUAUGCUUCAGUUUUAAUUUUAUUUUUAAUUGUUUGUUUUUCUUUUUAAUUUUUUAUUUCAUUUAGUUUUAAUUUAUAGUAUUAGUUUUGUGUUGAAUAGUGCUCUAAGGUAUUUCUAUAUUUUAUUUUAUAUGUAGGGUGACAACUCUCAAGGAUUACCAUUUGAUUCUGAGACAAAAAAAACAACAAGAGAAAUUAGAAAAGUUAAUUGAUUAACAUGUGUAGAAGAAUAGGCUCAGAAAGAAGAAAUACCAACAUCACCGUCUGAUAACACGACUGAUCAAGAAGCAGUAGCUAUGGAAAAUCCACCACCUAGGCGGACUAUGAGAGACUAUUGGAGGAGGACUAAGAAUUUUAUCUUUGGGUUCCAACCAAAACAACAUGUAGCAUUUGAUAUAAAGAGUAAAAUUCUAACAACUUCGAGGGAUAAUCUUUUUGAUGGUAACAUGAUCAGAGAUCCAUGGGAGCAUCUUUCCCGUUUCUAUGAGACUUGUUCGAUGUGAAAAUUAAAAAUGCGUAACUGAUAGACAAAUAAAAUUAAGUCUGUUUGGAUUUUCUUUGAUUGGAGGAGUUAAAGAUUAGUUACAAUGUUUACCCAAUGGGAUAAUCCAAGCUUUGAAAGAGCUAUAAGACAGAUUCUUGGUGUGGUUAUUUACUAAUUCCAAAUUCGUGGAGAGAAUGGCUGAAAUUUCUAGUUUUGAGCUAGUAAAUCAAAAUCUCUUUAUGACGCUUGGGAGAGAUUCAAGUUAUUGUUAAGGAAAUGUCCCAAUCAUAAUAUGGAUAACAUAGAGCAAAUGCAACAUUUCACACGGGGAUUGAGAGUUCAAACUAGAAUUCUUCUCGAUGCUUCAUUUGGAAGAACUAUAAAGAACAAUAAUUAGGACAAAGUGAAAGAGAUGAUUGUUCAAACUAGAAUUCUUCUCGAUGCUUCAUUUGGAAGAACUAUAAAGAACAAUAAUUAGGACAAAGUGAAAGAGAUGAUCGAGAAUAUGUGUCAGAACGAGUACCAUACUAGUGAAAGGGCUCCAGUAAAGAAAGGAAUGAUAAAGUUUGAUAUGCACACUUCAUUUUUAGGGGAAAUUGAAGCUUUAUCAAAACAAGUGACGAUCAAUGCUCUAUCUCACACAAAUCAAACAAUUGUAAGCCAAGUACAUGUAUUGAGAUGUGAGUUUUGUGGGGAAAGACAUGCAAUUGGUAAAUGUGUACUAAAAUAAUACACUCAAGAGGGAAAUUAUGCCGAUAAUUUUCAAAAACCUAACCCCUACUCUAACACUUAUAAUACAAGGUUAAAAGACGAUCCUAAUUUUAAGUGAAGUAAUAAUCAGAGUCCAGUGGUAAAUCCAUGAGUUGAAAAAAAAUAUUCAACCAAGGAAACCACCCCCUUGGAAGAAACCAUGCGCCCGUUUAUUAAGAUGAAUCUAACCAAAUUUGAGACAAUAAGCAAGAAUAAAUAAGCCAUGAGUAACAAACCAUGAGGCAUCUUUCAAUAAUUUGGAAACACAAAUUGGACAGGUUUCUAAACAACUAGUAGCACAAUUCAGUGGAGGGUUCAAUGGCAAUAUGUUGGACAAUCCCUAAAAUGAGAUUUGUAAGGCCAUUGAGUUAAUAAACUAGCCCUAGGAGUGAGGAGAAUUCAUAAGUAGUUGAUGAGAGAGAAUUAGAAAAUAGAAAAAUAAAAAAUAGAGGGAGAAAAAAAUGAGAAAUUAGAGGAAUCUAUCGUAAGAGGAGACACGCUCGACAAACUUAUUGAUAUAAAUUCACCCUUGAGAAGAACCAAGAAGCAAAUUUUAAAUGAGCAAAAUCCUGAAAUCCUUUAUUAUGUCAAGCCACCUUUUAUCAUGGGCUGAGCUCAUGAACCUUAAAACCUUGGUUUUACCUCAGGCUAACCAAUAAUAUGAGAGAUUUUAACACAGGGUUAAGCUUUAACCUAACCUUGGUUUUACCACAGGCUGACUAAGAACCAAUUGAAAGCUUUUAUCAUGGGCUAAGCCUUCGAACUUAAAUAAAGGUUUAUUCAAACAAUCCCCAAACCAAAGCUUCUAUGAGUUUAACUUCUAACCAAAAUAAAUAAUUACUCAAUGAAUAAUAUUCAACUAGUUGUAAAUAAAAUUCCCUCGAUGAAUUUUACAAUUCUAACCUUCCAGAAUUACAACUCCUCUCUUGCAAAAAGGACUUUCUCGAAAAUCAAUUUGUUUGAAAACUUAGUGAGAUAAAGUAAAAGAAAAUUGAUGAGAGAGAGAGGAGAGAGAGAGAAGAGAGGAAGAGAAGAGAGAGAGAGAGAGAGAGAGAGAGAGAGAGAGAGAGAGAGAGAGAGAGAGAGAAUGAAAUCUGAUUCUGGAUGAUUUGAUAUGAGGGAAGGACAUCUAUUUAUAGGCUAGGUUGAAUCAAAAAGGAAAUGAUUUUAAUGCAUUUUAAGACUUUCUUAUUGAUUAACACCUAAUGCCAAUCGAUUAGAUACCUAAAAAAUAAUCGUUUAUAAGUUCAAAAAAAUGAAAGAAAAUAUAUUUAUUCGUUGUACAUCAUUAAGGUGUUGUCCUAAUAGUUUAUUACUCAAUUUUGAACUGAGAGCAAUCGAUUAGGCUUAAUGCUGCCCAUCGAUUAGCAAAGACAAAACUUUGCCCAUAACUUAUUAUGAUAGUUCCUAACUCAUAUGGCACGACUUCAAGGUUUUUUCAAAAUGUUUUCUUGAGAAAAUAAGUUUGAAAAUAAGUUUAUGUGUGUGUGUAUGAUUUAUCCCUGUACUUUUAUGACAAUACCCUUAUGCUUUUCAAAGUGUUCUCUCAGUUUAACUAAGGUAGUGCUUUCAUUGGCUUCAAGACUUGUCAGACAUUCCUUUCUUGUAGACACUUUAUUGAGUUCUCUUGAGAUAAGACUUUGAGUUAAGUUCAAUUUAAUUUCCAUCAUCAGAUUAGUCAAGUCCAUCAAACCCUUAAUACUUGGGUUUACAUCUUGAACCGCUUACUCGCUUAUGCCUGACUUAUCAUCAGUUGUCAUUAUUCAGACAAUAAUUGUCAUCAUUAAAAGUUGCACUUCUUAUUAAAGCAUAUCACCUACAAAACAAGGUUCCACAUUCUCCCCCAUCUUGAUGAUGACAAUAUAUCUCUCAGGGGAGGUGGUAACAGAAAAUAACACAUAUGUGUUUGGAGUAAUUAAAUUCCCCCUAAGUUAAAUAGAGAGUAUACUCUACUCCCCCCAGAGAGUGUACUUCUCCCCAUUUUUUGAAAUCAAAAGGAGGGUAAAUAUGCAAUGCGGAAGAUAAAUAUGCAAACAUAGACACGUAAAACAUUUAAAGGAAGCAAACUAUUAUUUUAUUCAUUAAAACUGGGAAUUUGAAGUACAAAUAGGUAAAUAAGAAAAAAAAAAUAGAAGUAAAAAACAUAGGCAACUGAGAAACACUUAGUUCAUCUCAUCAUCAUCAACAUCCUUGCUUGAAACCAUAGGGGAGAUGGGGUUUCUUUUCUCCAUUCUUCUGAAGAGCUUGUCAAUAUUUGCAUUCAUUUCCUUUUUCUCAUCUUGGAUGUCAAUGAGGGUGUUUGAGGAAGAUGGAGGAAGGUUGUUGUUUCUUUGCUGUCUUACUCUUCUUGGUGGUUGUGGGACUAGUUUCCCUUCUUGAAUAGAAAAUCCCAUUUUUCUUAUAACUUUCUUCCCUAUCUUUGUGUGAACUAAAUCCGGUUCUUCUUCUCUGAACUCAUAGCCAAUGUAGGUUAGGAUUUUGGUGUUUAGUUCGGCAUAAGGUAAGGUAAUGUUUUUCCUUUUGCUGUCUAGCAUGUGGUGAAGUACGACAUUUGCCCAACUUUUCACAACUAGGCUUUCCAAAAACUAAAUUGCAUGGACAUCUUGUUUUUUGAUGGUGCAAUAGUUACUUUUCCAUGGUAAAAGCACAUGAUUCAUGGUGUAGUGAAUCAAUCUACUAUUUGGGCAAAUGAGGCCGACAUUGAAAGGAGAAGGAAUCCUAUAAGUGGGAUCAGCGAGGAGAGAUUGGAAAUGAGUGUCGAAAUUAAGUUCCUUACCUUCAUGAUUCAUUUCAUCAUAAUCUUGUUCCAUGAGCGGUAGAUUGCAAACUUGAGCAAAGUCUUAAAGAGACAUGGUGAUGGGGUGUUUCUUGACUUCGAAAUUGAUGAUGCCAUCUUUGUAGGAGAGAUUAAUGUAUAAUACUCUCACUAAUUCAAGGUACCUCUCUUGAUGUUUUUCAAACACGGAGUUCCUCAAGCCGAAAAAGUUUAAUGCUUCCAUGAAGGAGCAGUUCUUGAAUACUUCGCCAUAUAGGUAGUGAGACACAUAUAGUUCUAUAUCAGUGUAGAAUAUAUUGAAGUUGUUUUCUUGAGCUUGGGAGGAGAUGUCUUCUGAUAAGUAUGAGGAUGAAGGUUUAGAGGAACAAGUUCUUUUUUAGGACAGUUAGGUGAUGAUGGAUGAUUGAGAUAUCUAAUGUGUUUCUAAUGCAAUGCCCAAGUGAUUAAAUGAUGAGAUGAGAAGAAUGUGAAAGUUACCUAUAUAUAUAUAGCUUCUACUUAAUCGAUUGGAAAAUGUGCCAAUCGAUUGGAAACAAUAAAAUUUGAGAUCUAGCUGUUGCAUGGAGUCGUUGUAUUAACGACUCACCCAACUAGUCAUUGUGGUGAGCUCCAAUGUUAACAUUUCUUAAAUUUCUCAUGAUCUAAUCGAUUGGAUGCUAGUUCCAUUUGAUUGUUUUAGCCCAUUUCAACGUAUAUUAUUUUGGGCUCUGUGUGUUGCACCCUAACUUGCCCUUAUUUGCACCUCCUUUAAAAACACUCAUCUUUUUUGGUUAGAAUAAUAUUUAAUUGAGACGAGCAAAAUUUUAAAUUCAUUAUUUUAAGGGUUUAAUUAGAGUUUUAUGAUUAUUUCAUCCUUAAAUAAUGUAUACCUCUUCUAUCAAUAAAUCUUGAUAAAUACUUCCCUUAGAGGGAAACACCUAUCAAAUGAUGAUGUAUCCUUCUUUACACAUCGUUGGAUGCAAAAUUUGGUAUGAAAAGCAUAAUGAACAAGUCCACUACAAACAUGUCCAUUCACUCAUCUUUUUUGGUUAGAAUAAUAUUUAAUUAAGAUGAGUAAAAAUUUAAAUUCAUUAUUUUAAGGGUUUAAUUAGAGUUUUCUGAUUAUUUCAUCCUUAAAUAAAAUAUACCUCUUUUAUCAAGAAAUCUUGAUAAAUACUUCCCUUAGACGGAAACACCAAUCAAAUUAUGGUGAAUCAUUCUUUACACAUUGUUGGAUGUGAAAUUUGGUAUAGAAAUAAGAAUGAACAAGUCCACUACAAACAUGUCCAUUCAAUUGAUCACUAUGGAUCAUAAACUUUGAGAUAUUCUCUAACACUUUGCUUUGAUCGCAACUAUUGAUAUUUUCCAUCAUCGUUCAUUCUUGAAUAUGAGACUUCAUCAAUAUUGUAUACUUAGAAGUGUACUCUUACUUUGCACAACACCAUUGAUAUUCUCUUAAAGCUUCAGGAUGCAAAGCAUACCUGCAAAACACUAAGGUUUCACCUUUGGUGCCUACAUCUUCUUAGGCCCAUGUGAGUUAGUUCCAGAAGAUCUAGGGUUUUUACCUUAAGAUCUUUUCAAUUUAUCAAAAUUGAAAGGUUCCAAAUGACCAAAUCUUUUAUAGUGUGUGCAUUUAUAAAUUGGACGCUUCUUUUAUAUACCUUUACUAGGUUUUCUAUCCUUUUUAAAUCCUAGUCCAUUUUUGUUUAUGGAAGAUUUUUGACUUGAUAAGAUUAAGCCAAGCUUUUCUUUUCCUUGUGUAAACUUUCCAAGGGUUUCAUGUAAAUAAGUUACUUCCUUUAUAAGGGAGUCACAAAGUUUACAUUCUUCUAUUGAGUUCCUAACCUUAUUUAUUUCUAUUUUGAAUGACUCAUUGAUGUCUUUAAGAUAUCUUAAUGAUUCUUUAAGAUCUAGGAAUUUUAUCUAGUUUACAUGCUCUUAGUUUAUCAUUUUCUUCCACUAGUUGACUACUCAUUCUAAACAGUUGUGCAUAAGAUGGCUUAACACUUGGAAUAUUAUCUACCUUGUAGGAUGUCUUUAAGCAUACUUCAUCUUCUUCUUUGGGAGACUAUUGUUUAAUCUUUCUCCCCAAGGUUGAUGUCUCUCCUCCUUUUCUUUGUUCAAGUAUUGAAGACAUUUCUUCUUCUUUAUCAUUUUUUGAGCAUGAGGUUCCUUCGUUUGAUGUUGAAUCUUCUGAGGAUCGCUCAACCACUGAGUACAUUCUUUCGAAAGAAAGUUCUACAAGAGUUGUGUGAUAGGAAAUUAAAAGUUGUUGAUUCUUUGAUUUUUACUUGUUCAUCUUUGAGUAGUUGAACUAGUUAGUUCAAUUUCUCUAUAAUUUCCUUCUUUCUUGAUUUUUUUCCUGAAAUUCGUGAAGGCUCACAUCUUUUAAUUUAAGAAUUGGAUUGGACUUCCAAUUUUUAAUUCUUAGACAUUGGUUAGUUAUAAACGUUCUAAUACAACUUCCAAUAUUUAUAAGUUUUGAAAAAAAUUAAGAGUAGUAUCUUCAUCUUCUUCGCCUUGUUUAUUCAUCUCCUCUUUCUCAAUAAUUGGAGAAACCACAUAUAUCAUUUUAAGAGUAUCCUACAUUUCCUUGGCAAUUUGACAAUGAUAAACAUAGUAAAAUUGAAUAUCAUCUAGAUACAUUGUUAUAAAUCUCUUAGUUUUUAAAUCUAUCUCAAACUUUCUCUUUUCCUCUUUGGUCCAUAGGGAAUCAGGUUUAUCUACUACUUUUCCAUUUAUUUGGUCAUUAGGGAUAAACACACCAUUGAUUAUUGUUUUCCUCAAUUCAUGAUUUAUACUUUGAAGAAAAAUUUUAAACCUAGAUUUCCAAAUAUUAAAUCUACUAUCAAUGAAAAGUGGUGGUGUAUUUAGAAAAUAAUUCUCGUCGGAAGUCAUCUUCCUCUUGAGAUGAUUAGUCCUUAAAUAAAAGUUAGGCUCUGAUGCCACUUGUUGGACAUGUGAUUCACACACAAGAGAAUGGGGGAUUGUAUGGUUCCGAAAAACAUGGUUUUGAAAAACUUUAUGGAUUAAAAUAAGAGUUGAAAUUCAUUUGAAAAAUGUUUUAGAAAUUAAGCAGCGGAGAACAAAUUAACAUAAUAUAAAGUGCGGAAAAUCAAGAGUUGGGGGAAAGAGAAAACCCCAAGAUUUAUAUAUGUUCUAUCAAACAAGAAAAAGACCUACUCUUCUCCCCAAAAAUUGAUCUUGAGAGUAUUCAAUAAACUUGAGAGUUUUUAAUAGGUUAUACUCGCGAACCCUCCUUAUACAAGGAAAACUAAAUUUUAAGGUUGACUUCCAACCAAAUAGUAAACAUUAGGGUGAAGUGAUUAGUCAUCCCUGCAAACAGAGGAUCAAAGUGAUUAGUCUCCUUUCCACAAGAAUUUUGGAGCGGUUAGUCUUUAAGAUUCUAAACAAACUUUGCAAGCUUUUAUCACGGUUUGAGCUCUAUUGAGUGUGAAUAUAAAAGUAGAAAAAUGGUCUAAAGGGGGAUGAACAAAGCCAAAUAAAAAAAUGCAACUUCUUGUUUUCCAAAAUCACAGUGUUUUAAAAAAUAAGUUGCGAGCGGAAGGUUUGAAACGAAAAUGAAAAUUAUACAAUUAAUUAUGAUUAAGAAAACACACAGUUCAUUUCACAAACAUCCAAGAUUAUAAACAAUGAAACUUUUGGCAUGAGUUGAUUCAAGUUGUGUAGUCACAAGAAGUAUACACAAUUGAUUCUACGUGGAUUCCUAAAUUCAAUUUGUUUUUAGAUUUAUCAAUCACAAUACUAGCUUGACUAGUUGUCAAAUUCCAACAAAACCUAAGCUUUACAUAAGUUAUCGCUAUCAAGAGUAAAACGAUAUAGUACGAAGGAGUUAAAAAACCUAGAAUGCAAUCACUAUGAAUAUAAAUGCAAGAGUAUAAUUUGAGAGAUGACACUGAGAUUUAUAGUGCUUCAGCGUUCGUCCUCACUUGGCCCAUGUGCACUCUUCAGUGGCUUCCCAUUGGAACCUGCAUAGUUCCUUGUUAUUUGACAAAUAUUUCUAAGAGUUCAUACAAUCACCAGUCUACAAUUUAUAGUUGAGAAGAUAAAUCUCUUAAUAUGGAUCUUGACUUGUAUCUAGCAAACUUGUCAAACUCUUAUACGUAACGUUUAUUUGAGUAUGUUUAUUGAACCUUCCAAUAACACCAAAUUUGUUCCAAGCCUUCUUGUGUAGCUAUCAACCCCUUGAUCCUACCGAUUCCUUGAGAGGUGAUAUGGUCUGAAGAUCUGAGAAGAACUCCACCUUAUUUGUCGCCUUCCAUUCAGUUACUACUAAGGCAAUGUUGGAGAGAAGAACCUACUUCUCUUCAAUGGAAUUUGUCACCACCAUUGACAAUCCAUAUUUCUUGCUAACAACCUGAAAACUUAAUAAGAUCUCCAAGAACAGUUAGUUUUAAGUACGCGCCUCCUUCAAUCAAUCUCAAAACUCUAAUUAUCAAGAUAUGAACUCAAUUGAAGUUGAAGAUGUGAGAAAUUUGUAAAUAGACUUUGAACAGUUAAAACAGAGGAAAGUGAUUUUCACACAAAAGCACACUGAAAAAUCUUAACAGAAUGAUGUAUGUUAUGUUUGAAUGCUGACAUAAAAUAAUUUAUACAUGCUUGAGAUGAAGCAUAUAAAAUGGUUGAACAAAGGUGGUUAUAUUCGAAUCAAGAAAAAUAUGAUUUGAAUCAAAUGAGCAAAAAUGAAGUGAAAUGAAAGAAAUACCCAAAAUUUGAAAAAUAUGUCAGUUAAUUCAGAUCAGGGAAUACAUGAUUGAACACAAGCCUUCUAAUUCGAAUCAAGAACAAAAAGUGAUUCGAGUAAAAUGGCCCAGAACUGACAGAAUUUUAAGGAAAAAUAAUUUGAUUCGGAUCAUGUUGAAAGUUUGAUUCGAAUCAAAUCAAACAGAACCAACCAUGAUUUGUGAAAAAUGAAAUUGAUUUGGAUCAUGUACAAGUUCUGAUUCGAAUCAAAUCAGGCAAAGUCUGUUCCCGAUAAAAUGACCAGGAUCAAGUGAAAAAUAUGAUCAAGAAUAAAUUACUGAGUUGAGUUACUGUCCAAUUCGAUCAGAAUCACGAAUUCAAUGUAAAACUGUAUGAUUCAAAUCAAUCUUGUAAAAUCUUAAAUUUUCAAGUUUUAAAAGCUUUUUGAGAUUUUACCUUGAACAUUUUUUUUUUCAAAAACACAAGGGGAGUCAAUUCACUAUCAUAUGCUAUUGAUCAAAGAGAAAUUAGAUCAAUAUCAAAUCUAACCAAAUUUUUAUGCAUGCUAAACAUGAGAAAUGAAAUCACGAAGGAGACUCAAUGAAUCGAAAUAAAGACAUAGAUGAAAGCGUUAAGACAAGUAACAAAGUAAUCGGAUAAUAGAGACAUGAAACUACAAUCUCCCUCUUUUUGAUGUUUGUCAAGCUUUUACAAACAUUGAGUCGACCUUUGAGUACACGUGUAACUUCCCCUGAAACAUUGCACACAAAUAACUCACAUCAUAAAAACACAUAAGACAAUUAUAGACUCAUUACAACUUCUCCCCCUUUGGCAACAUCAAAAAGAGAUAGUUUGAAAUGCGUCUAAAACUAAGGAUAAACAACUAGAAACAUAUAGUUCCAAAGAACCAAUGAGCUAAACAACUAAAAAGUAUAUACAACAAUCAUGAUCACAUAUUCAACAAAGAUAAACUUGUCACAAGCAACAUAACGUAAAUAUACAUGCAACACAAAUGUUCAACAAAUACCAAUUAAGUGAUCAAACUUGUAAAUCAAGGUGUGCAUUAACAAUCACAAAAAACGCAUGAAUAAGUAGUCAAAAGUUCUAAUGCACAUAAUUAGCAAUGCGCAUUUAAAAGACUUAAAUGAGUGUAUGAACAAUCAAAUACAUAAGCUAGAGAUGGAUUAGUGAGAUAUGGAGGAAAUAAGCAAACAAAUGCAUAACUCUAGCACAAAACACAUAGAAUGAUGCAAAGGUUAGAAACAUACAAUUCUAAGUUGGUAGAAGCUACAAUUUGCUAUAAAAAAGUGUUAGUGCAAUCAAAAUAUACAACAAAUGAAACAAAAAACCAAAACCACAUUCUACUUAAGGCAAGAUGAUUCUAACACUCCUAAUUCCCUACAGAUUUUGUGGAAGGAUUCCAAAGACAACGGUUUUGUAAAAAAGUCAGCAAGCUAACUUUUGGUGUCAACGUACUAAAAAAUAACAUAUCAUUUCUCCACACGAUCUCUCAGGAAAUGGUGUCGGAUCUCAAUGUGUUUAGUUAGUAAGUGUAGUAUUGUAUUCUUAGUAAGACUUAUAGCACUAGUGCUAUCGCACUUAAUUGGAUCGCAACCAAGUUUUAAAUUAUAGUUCAAUGGUUGUUGUUUAAGCCAUAAGACUUGUGCACAACAACUACCAGAUGCUACAUAUUCAACCUCAAUGGUAAAAAGAGCAACACUAUGUUGUUUCUAACUAUGGCAAGAAACUAAGCAACUUCCAAAUAAGUGGCAACUACCACUAGUACUCUUUCUAUUCGACUUGCACCCUUGAAAUCAGAAUCAGAAUAUCCUCAUAUGAUACAAGCACUUCCCUUGGGAUACCAAAGAUCGUGAUUGGAGGUUCUGCUAAGAUACCUCAAAAUAAGUUUUACGAUCUUAAAGUGGGAAUACUUAGGUGAUAUUUGAUAUCUAGUACACAUGCACACACUAAACAUGAUAUCAGGCUUACUUAUGGUUAAAUAGAGUAAGGAUUCAAUUAUACCUCGAUACCUAGUUAUUUCGAAAUCCACUCCUCUUUCAUCUUUGUCUAUGAGCAAAUUUGAAGCCAUUAGAGUUGAGAUAAUCUUUGAAUCUUUCAUCUCGAACUUUUUUAGAAGAUCUAGACAAUACUUUAUUUGACUUAUGAAAUUCCCUUCUUCACCUUACUUGAUUUGAAAUCCUAAGAAGUAUGUUAAUUCUCCUGUAAGUGACAUCUCAAACUCUCCCUGCAUCAAACUAGCAAUUUCUCGACAAAGAGAUUCAUUAGUAAACCCAAAUGUAAUAUUAUCUACAUAAAUUUGCACUAAACGAAUAUGUUUUUACUUAUGUCAUAUAAAUAAAGUGGUGUCGACUUUUCCACGGUUGAAUCCUUGUUUGAUAAAAAAUCCACUCAAUCUCUCAUAUUAAGCUCUAGGAACUUGUUUGAGACCAUAAAUGGUCAUUUUUAGCUUAAAAACAUGAUUAGGAUUAUCGUGAUCCUCUAAAACCGGAGGUUGUGAGACAUACACCUCUUUAUUUAUAUGGCCAUUUAGAAAAACAAACUUAAUAUCCAUCUGGCAAAGCUUAAAGUCCAGUCAGCAAACGAAUGCCAAAAGGAGUCUAAUGGCUUCUAGGAGGGCUACAAGAGCAUAAGUCUCCUUGUAUUCUAUCCCUUUAUCUUGAUUAUAUCCUUUUGCCACUAACCUAGAUUAUUUCUCGUAAUUACUCCAUUUUCAUCCAUCUUAUUCCUAAAUACCCAUCUUGUACCUAUGACGGUUUUAUCAAUCGGACGCAGAACAAGGUCCUAAAUGUAAUUUCUUUAAAUUGGAUUAGUUCGUCUUUCAUAGUGAGUAACCAUCCCUUAUUAAGUAAGGAAUCAAAUAUGGAUUUAGGUUUAAUAUGAGAAAUUAACACAUAGUACUUACAUAAAUUUUUAACUUGUGACCUAGUACUUACUCACUUUUUAAUGUCUCCAAGGAUUUGAUAUAACGAACGAUCCUUUGUGAUUGUCUAAUCUCGAGGUAGCUGGUUUGAGGUCUCUUGUUUGUCAUCCUCAUGUAAGCUUUCCUCCUUAUCUUCUGUAAUGUCCUUACCAUUUAUUUUUGGAUCGGGAACCUCUUUUGAACUUUCUGAAGGAGAAUAGCCAUCCAAGGCGCAGCGGAAUAUAAAAAAAUUUCUCCUUUAAUGAUCCUUACGAAUGAGCAUGAUCAGUGAUAGAAUCGUUACCUCUUGUGGAGAUUCAAACCUUUGUGCAGAUCUCUGACAAUGAUAACCUUUGAUACAGAUCCACGGGGCGAUCACGAACGUUGAACGAUGACAACGUCUCUACUCAGUCCACACGAACGGAUUCCUUCAAUCGCAGUGCUAGCUGUUAUGAAUGAAGGCUUUGAGUGAGAGAAAUAGGGGAACAAAAUUCCAAGUCUCUACUUGAAUUUCUGUCUGAGUGAAUUGGAGUGACCAUGCUUCUACCCAAGGGGUUCUAUUUAUAGAACCACUUGUGUGGGCUUCAAGCCAAAAAGCCCACUUAAGUGCAUUUUGGACCAUAUCUCAUAAUAUGCCAAAAUCACUUAAGUAUUUGGUACCUUACCAUAUUUCGUCUCCCACUUAAGUGCACCGUACCUUACGGUGUUCCUUAAUAAUUCUAUCUCUCAUCAAUCCGUCCUUUGUGUGUGACCCUAUAGGUUUUGCGGCGUUGGCAAUUAUAUUAAAUCACGCAUUUAACAUAAUAAACAGUGAGCGGUAUCUAGCAACACAUCACUGCUACCCAAGUCACGAAAAUGUCAUGUGUCUGACAAAACCUCCUGUGAUAAUAAUUAUGUGUAUAAUUACCCCUUUGCCCUUAUGUCUAUAUUGAACACAAGGUAUAGACCGUGUCACCCUUGUCCAGUUCAUAUUGGGCCCAUAGACAUUUAUCCUGUUACGUAGGAUUGGCAAAUUCCAUCUAGGACACUCAUGUCCUCAGCAUGCUUCGUGGAGUACCCAUCAACUGUCUUUAUGGUUAUCCAGUUACGGACAACGUUGGAUCAGCAAUAAAGCACUCGACUCUACAUCUAGGAUCCAUAGUGGUUUCAGGUCGAAGAGUGGUAUACACUAUUAUCACCAUGAGAAUAACUUAUGACACUUUGCAUAACUUUCUAUAUAGUAUUCUCAUAGCGGGUCAAUCCGGUAUAAAUAUUACUCCUAAUAUUCAUACCUAUGUUUAAGACUUGAUAAUCUUUUAUCCAUGAUCCAUGAGAUGUGAUCAUCAAUCUACAAACAUAAUAGUCUUAAUGCUUUAAUGUUAUCCCACUUCACAUUAAGCUCGACUACGGAUACUUUAAGAAUAGUGUCCUUAUGUUUAUGUGUUCUCAUGAUUAAGUCACACUUAAUACAUUAAACAGACUAUCUAUUCCAGGGACUUUAUUAAUCAACCAUAAUAAAGAAAAUGCCUUUUAUUAUUAAUAAAUAAUUCGAUACAAGUACCAAAAGUAUUGGCCUCUAGGGCUUACACCAACACUUUCAUCGAUCAAUCUUUCUGUUAUAAUACCUGAAACAUCAUAACAAAUACCCUUCCUUGGCUUUUGGGGUGAGGAAUCAUCAAAAGUAACAUGAAUGGACUCAUAUACACAAGAAGUUCCAUGAUUGUAAACCCUAUAGGCUUUACUCGUAGAUGAGUACCCUAAGAAAAUACCUUCACCAGAUUUUGCAUCAAAUUUGCCAAGGUUAUCUUUUCCGUUAUUCAUAAUAAAGCAUUUGCAACCGAAAACUUAAAAAUAUGAAAUAUUAGGUUUUCUACCCUUAAGUAUCUCAUUCAGUGUCUUCUCUAGGAUAAAUCUUAUGAUUACCCUGUUUAAGACGUGGCAUCCGGUGUUAAUCGCAUCCGCACAAAAAUACUUGGGUAGGCUCAUCUCAUUUAUCAUAGUCCGGGAAAGCGCUUCCAACACACAGUUUUUGCUUUCUACAACACAGUUUUGUUAUGGAGUUCUAGAACAUGAGAAAUUAUGAGCAAUACCAUUUUCGAUGCUAAAGUUUUGAAAAUGAUGGUUCACGAAUUCCCCACCAUGAUCACUAUGGAGAGUGAUGAUUUUAAAACCAAAAACAUUUUGAACAACCUUAACAAAGUCAACAAAAGCUUUAAAAGUAUCAUCUUUAUAGGCUAAAAAAAGCGUCCAUGUAAAUUUAGAGUAGUUGUCAACAAUCAUAAAUUCGUAAUAGUUGCCACCUAGACUUCUUAUCCGCAAAGGGACAAACAAGUCUAAAUGGAGAAGCUUAAGAGGUUUUGAUGUCGAAAUAACCUUCUUCGGUUUAAACAAUAGUCUUGUUUGCUUUCCCAUUUGACAAGAAACACACAAUUAAUGUUUUAAGUUUUCAUUUUUGGAAGACCAACUACUAUAUUUUUGGAUGCUAUCUUAUUUAGCAAGUCAAAAUGCACAUGGACUAAGCGUCUAUUGUAACACCUUAAACCCCAGAUAUAUUAAGCUUUACACGACAAUAUAAGGUGUCACCAACGAAAAAUCCUAUAAUAAAUCUAACAUUUAACAAACACACAACGGAAACAUCAACGUCAUACAACCCUAUCAUCCCACACUCACCUUCACUUAGGGUUUCAUUGUGGCGGUGUUGAUCUUCUUUCAAUUAAAUAAAACAACAUAACUUAUACAUUUAGUCUCAACUUCAAAAUUAUAUAAUCUUCUAUCAAAAUAUUGAGUUAUCAUGUUCAACGCUCAACAACUUCAAUAUAAACCGAAUAAAGCAAUUAAGCUCCAAAAAAACAUAAUAAGAAAACAAGCAUUCCCAACCCCGAUGUUACAUGAUCAAACCAAGACUUCUAAACAAUGAUGAAACUAAACAAAGUAACUCCAGGAGCUAACUUCCCCUUGUAAUAGCAAACUCUACUUCUGAGUAUCUACAAGAUGUUCAUGGUGGACAACAUGAAAGCAAAGGGGAUGGGAAAUAACAAACCAAUAUAAACACUAGAAGGAAUUCUAAGGUAAAGAGUACACAACAAGCACACAUUCAUUACUUAAUCAGCAACCACAUAGCCUCACACUAUUCAUAAUAACAUGUACAUAUUCACCACCAAUUAACAACAUCAUAAAUAAUCAACUACAUAUGCAAUCAUGUAUGCAAAUGUACUCAACAACUAACUCAUUAUGUAUGUAGUAUCAUUCAUGAAAACCCAUGUUCAUCUUGCUCCCGAUCCCCAUCAUAGGACCAGAGCACACCAAAUCGUUACCAUCACCAUAGGUAACGUUUCACCAACUCCCAUAUGGAACUGACUACCUUCUCCCGGUCCCCACCAUAUGAUCAAAGCACACUAAAAUUGGACCAAAGCCCGUACACCUUGAUGCAUGACUCUCAACAAUAUGCAUUACCCCCAAAAGGAUCAUCAUGCACAUCUCACCAUUUAUGCACCAUAUCAUUCAUCAUACGCAAUAAUUAAUCAAUGUUGUGACAUUAAUAAACAACAACAAACAGAAGCAACUCAACAAUUGUAACUUCAUAGGCAUUCAUUCAUGUUACUUCACCAAAAUAACAACACAUCAUUAUAUAAACAUAACAAUUGGCUAAUCGAUCAUACAAGUCAGCACAAACCUUACCAUAGAAGACACAUGAUUAUAAAUCAAACAUUUCACCAAGAAUUACCAUGAGGUAGCUCUGUGAGUUAGCUUUCUAACACUUCGAACGACAUCUCAAUUGGACUUACGGAAUGAAAGUUACAGCCAAAAUCGUUGGACAAUGAAACAAAAGACAACAAUUUUUUUGGAAUUUUGGCCUAGGACAAUCGAUUGUCAAGGGAUGACAAUCGAUUAUCAGCAAACGUGUCUCGCUACUGACUUAAUAAAAAUUCACUUUUCCAGGCAGUUCAAUCGAUUGUACUGGUUAUUUUUUUCAAUAUUCGAAUGCAUACAAUCGAUUGAUUGGGAAUGUCAAUCGAUUGACUGGAAAUGUCAACCGAUUGACACUGCAGUUUUUUCCAAAAAAAACUAGUUUUUUUCCAUGAUUUUCACCCCUCUCAUCCCAAAACCUUCAUACAUCAUUCCAAUUAAUUCAUAAAAAUUUAACAGACCAAAACACGAUUUUUAAUAGUGAAUCAUGUUAGCAUAAUCAUUAACAUAUAUAUCACUUAAUUCACCAUAAUUUAUAGCAAUUUCAUCACCAAAUUCAACAAUAAAUUUCAUCAUUAUCAUGAAUAAAACUCAAGCUUUCACACCUUCAGCAAUGGAAGAACCUCAUACAUACAUAUUCAUGAUCAAUCAAACAUCAAUUCAAUCAUAACAACACAUAUAAACACGAGAUCAACCAACCAAUUUCUAGAAUUUCAUCAUAUAACAAUUGAUUAAAAGAAAACCUAGAAUCCUAAUGAGAAUAAGGACUUAUCAUCUCUACCCCAUCAUCUAAUACACCUAAAUUUAUAGCCCUUCCUCCCUUACCUUAGAUUUCUAGUAAAACAACAACAACUUCUAAGGAAUUCUUCUCUCAAAGCCUAGCUUUGUGCUUCUUCCUUUUUCUCCAACUUUUGUUUUCACGUACUAUAAACUUUCUCAAUUCCCACAUCCCUCUAUUUAUAAAAAUAAUUUAAACCCUUUCAUUUAGGCUUUUUCCCUCAUUACCCCCAAGUUAUUCUCCAAAUUCCCUCAUUGCCCCUUAUUUCUCUACUAACUCUUAUUUUCUCCAAUUUUUCUUAUUUUAUUAUUAAUAAAAAUAAUAAUAAUUAAAAUUUUGAUUAUUCUAAUUAUUAUCCAACUUAUUCUAUUUUCUCACCAAAACUCUACUAAUUUCACUACACCCCAUCAACAUAUAAGAUCAUAUUAUUUAUUUAAAUGCACACCAACAUCAAUUAAUUAAAUAAAAUAAAUCCAAAUAAUUCAAUUAAAUAAUUGAAUUGAAUUUUGGGUGUUACUUCUAUGCCAUAACCGAUAAUCCUCACUUUUAGCUACUAGACACUUAGUCCCAUGCAUUGAGACAUCAUCUAGAUCAAGCAUAUAAACAUUUUUAAUCCUAGAACCCUCAAAUACAAAGUCCUUGCUAGUUUCAUGUUCAAUUAUACAACUAAGAGUAUCAAACGAAACCUAAUGCCCUUUGUCACAUAGUUGACUAAUACUUAGAAAGUUGUGUUUAAGCCCUUUCACUAACAGCACAUUAUCAAUGGUAAUUAUGGAGGGAUUUUCCACAACACCUUCACCAAGAAUUUUACCUUUAGUAUUGUCUCUAUAGGUGACAUGACCACUUUCCUUCUCAUCGAACUUGAUGAACAUGGAAACAUCUCUCGUCAUGUGUCUUGAGCAUCCGCUAUCUAGAAACCACAAUCUUUUUGCGGAGGUAAGGCGUUCCUAUGAUAAAUCAAGAAGGUAAUUUAGGUCCCUAACUAGUGGAUCCUUCAGGGUUAGUUGAGUUACAUUUAGGUAUCCAUGUCAUUUUACCAUUGGGAACUUGAAUGUUCCUAACAAGACAAAGAGGCCUAAUGUGACCCUUAUCUCCACAAUAAUGACAAAUAGCUUUAGAUGAAACACUCAUUCUAUUUCUCCUAGUGACAUGAGGGUUUUUCUUAAAAACCUUCCCUCUUUCACUUGAAGAACUAGAACGUGUAUUAGAUAGUUUGACAGCAUGUGUCAAAUGUCCUUUAAGAGUUUCAAUUUCAAUUUUUAAAAUAGGACAAUUAACACAUUCCAUAACUUCUAUCUUUUCAUCUAAAGUAUCUGAAACAAUACUACACUCUUCCACAAGAGAUGUAUGAACUUCAUUUAAACAAUCUAAAGCACGAUUGAGAUUCUUUAUCUCCUGUCAAGUGUAUAAAUAAUUUCUUUUUGGAGAGAAAUUUUCUUAAACGCUUAAAUGGAAUCAACAUACAUGGAAUUAAAUGCACUAGACAAUUCACCAUAAGUAGGGGUGUGCAUGGAUACCAUUUAAUAUGAACCAAUCCAUUUUUAUGGUUAUGGUUUAUAAACCAAACCACUUCUCACAAAAACCAAUUUAAAAUUCCGAACCGGUUUAAAACCGAUUUUAAAUGGUUAUGAUUUUAAUCAAAAUUAUUUAAUUUAAUUUAAGUAUUAUUUUCUUUAAAUUAAUAUUAAUUUUUAAAUUUUAAAACAUAAACAAAUUUUAUGAGGUUUUAAAAUAUUUUUUCUUUUAAAAUUUAAAAAACAUACAAAAAAUAAUUUUUUGUAGAAAAAAAAAUAACAAAUAUUCAGAAAAAAGAAAAAAAAUAUAUAAAAAAAUAUUGAAAAUAAUAAAAUUAUAUUCUGAAAAUGAAAAAAACAUUGAAAAUAAAAAAGAUCUUAAUAAAUAAAUUAUUCCAAAAUAUAAAAAUAACUGAAAAAAAUUUAUUUUCUAAAAAAUGAAAAUGAAAAAUAAAAAAAUCCUGAAAAUAAAAAAUAAUUUCUAUUCUAAAAUUAUAAAAAAAAAUUUCUUCUGAAAAUAAAAGUUUUUUUUAUUCUGAAAAUUUGAAAAAAUAACCUAUUAAAAAAUUAUCAAUAAAAAGUUAUUUAUAAAAAAUCUAAAUUUUUUUAUUGGAAAAAAUACAAAAUAUUUUUUUUAUUUAGAAGAAAAUAAUAAUUUUAUUUGAAAAAAUAUCAAAUAUAAUUUUUUUCGAAAAAAAAUUCCAAAUAUAAUAUUUUUCGUGAAAAGAAAAAAAAAUUCUGAAUUUUAUUUUUAAAAUAAUUUUAUUUAUAAAAUUUUAAAAUAUAAAAUUAAUUUAUAAUAUGAUAAAACAUGAAAACAGACAAAUAUAAAAAUUUAAUGCAUAGUAAAUUUUGGAUAUCCAAUAACAAAACCAAAUUAUUAUAAUGGGUAACGGUUUAUAUUUGGAUAACAAAAUGGAUACCCAAAAUUUUAUUUUAGCAUUUGGUUUGGUUUUUUAAAAGUGGAAAAAUUUGGAUACCAAUUUGGUUAUGGAUAACCAGUUUUUUUACACACCCCUAACCAUAAGUAUACUCAUUUUCAGAUUCAGAAUUAUAUACCUUUGAAGUUCCACUUUUCGUCGUGACAUCAAGCAAAAGUUGGUACAAUCAUCAUUUAAACUCGAGCGAGAAUCGGAGGAGGAACUCUCAACCUCUUUUUCCCAUGCGAUGUAGGCUCUACAAUCUUUGAGAGAUUUUCUCUUCGUCUUAUAGAAAGCCUUGUCUUUGCUUUUAUGAUGUUUGGUAAGAUUUGGACAUGUAGUUCUAUAGUGUCCCAAUUUACCAUAUUCAUAGAAUGAGAUCCCAUCAUCUUCUUUCUUGUGAUCCUUCUUUGGUGGAUGAGUAUUUCUUAAAUUAACUAGACCUUUGUUAGUAUGCUUGAGCUUGUUUCUCUUAAGAUAUAUAUUGUAACGUUUGACGAAUAAACCCAUUUCUUCCUUUUUGGAAACUUCUCUGUCAGAAUCGUCACUUUCUUACUUUGACUUCUUCACUUUUGAGGUGAAGCUUUCAAAGAAAGAUCUCGCUUAUCUUCUUUCCCUUUCUCUUUCUUCUUCGAAUUUACUUAUUUAUCGGUGAGUCGUUUUAACUCAUUCUCAUGAUCGAAUAACUUCCCAAACAGAUUUGUAAUAUCCAAAGUACUAAGAUCAUUUGUUUCUUUUAUUGAGGUGACUUUAUGUUGCCACUCCCUGCACAUGGAUCUCAAUAUUCUGUUAGUACAAUCUUUGUUCGAAAAGGUUUUACCUAAGUCUCGCAGUUUGUUGAUCAAAUGGAGGAAUCUAGUUUGAAUGGAAUCCAUGAAUUCUUCGGGUUCCAUACAAAAUAGUUCAAACUCCUUUGUAAAUAUAUUGAUUUUAGAAUCCUUGACAUCCUCCAUUCCCCCCAUAGAGAGUUUGGAGAGAUUCCUACAUACCUUUAGCACUCGUAUAAUGUGAACUCUAAUAAAACAGUUUAGCACUUAGUGAUGAAAUGAUUAUGUUCUCUCUUUCAAAUCAUACAAAGCCUUUUUGGUUUCAUCUGUAAGACCCCAAUUUUGACCCUAAGAUCCCUCAUGCCAUCUCAUCAUAUGCAUUGGCAUUGGGAUCCCACCUUGGUAUCCUCCUUACCCCUCAUUCAUUGGGUUUGCAUUAGGAGAAAUCACCAAGCACCAUCUGAUUGUAUCAUACUUUGUAUUUUUAUCGUUCUACUAACCAAAAUACCAAAAAUAUGUCUUUGCAUUUAUCUAACUCUUUUGUAGGUAGGGCACAUGCUCACCUCUGAUCUAUCAAGCCCAUAUCUAGGGUUUAAGACCCUCAUUGCUAAGAGCUCAAUCAAUAAACGAUCCACAAUGGCUUUAGACAUCAUAUAUGGAUCCCCCUGAGCUUCACAUGUUACUUUGGUCAAGAAUUCAUCAAGAGUUUGGAAUUGGUUUGCCCUGGAAGCCCUAAUUCAUCUAGGUAUCUUGUGUAAAUUCUUCAACAAGCUUCUUCAACAAUUGAUCAAAUAUUUCAAGGGAUACUUCAAAUUUCAUCAUCUUAUGCAUAUAUGAUCCUCCAUGAGUCCCAAAAGUCAAGAGAAUUGCAAGUUAGCAAGUUGGUUGAUGGUGGUUGACCAGAGGAAUUCAUCUGACCAAAACUGGGUUCCCUAGACCCCAUCUCCUACAAUUUUUAUCAUAUGAAAAUGACUCCAAGCGCAAAGUUACUCCAAAUGACAUUUCAAACAACUUUCAUGUUGAUGUCUAGGGCUAGUUUUGCUUGGAAAGUCAUUUUUUAUGAUGAAAGAUUAUAGGUCAUUUUGUCUAAACCCUAAUUUGGAGGUCAACUUCCCAAGGCCAUAACUUGCUCAAUUUUUAUGAGAUGAAAUAUUUCCAAGUUGCAAAAUCAAAUUCAAGAUGUAUAAUUCAUCUUUGGUGUUUGGUGGAAGAUCUAAUUCAACUUUUAUGAGCAUGUGAUAUGAGGAUACAUUAUAGGUCAUUUUGGACCAAUACCAUUGAACAAGUGAUUUUCCUCAACUUCAAAAAUGUAUAACUCCUUCAUAUCAAAUCCAAAUGAGGGACUUUGUGACCAUUUUGAUAGAAUUUGAGAGAUAUACAACUUUGAUGAAAAAACUUUUCUCAUUUGAAACUCACACAAAAAGUUAGCCAAGGUGGAAUAAGUGAACAUAUGGCUUGACACUUAGAAUUUUUUUUGAUAUGUUAAAAUUUUCAAACUUCCACCUCAAAAUUCAUCAUGAUACAAGCUUCAAAUGGAAAAGUGUUGAACAUGAAAGUUGUUCCUCUUGAUCUAACAUUUCCAAAAAGUCCAAUUUCAUCCAUUUUGGACAAGAUUUGAAUAGGCUGCGCAUGGCUUGAACAUUGCAUCAUCAUUUGGCAAAAACCAAACUUCAAGCUUCCAUGUACAAUUGCCUAGCACUCCAAUUUGAUUUCAGACUUGUUCACACUCAAUUAUGGACCAAAUGGAAUAAUCUCAUGGGCCUGUACACGCCAAUGCACACAUGCAUCACUCAUUGCCAAAUUUGGAAACUCAAUUGUAAGGUGCAAAUAUCAUGUGAUUCAGCUAUAAAUAAAGGCCCUUAUGCUCUGAAUUGAGGACUCCUUUGCGCCAACUUUGAUCCCAAACACCAAACCCUUCCAUUUGAGAGGAUAAUCCUGAGAAUUUCCUUUAGAAAUUGAGUUUGAAUAUCACUGUUUUAAGAUUCAAAACUCUAGGGAUCCAAGACCUUUUGUGCAUUCUAGUCCACUUCUGCAAGCAUCCUGAGCAAGAUCAAGCACGAGCCAAAGCAAGAACAAGUGAAUCCAGACCUACAUUGAAGGUAUUUUCCAGAAAAUUUCAUCUCUUCGAUUCUCACUUAAUUCUCUUGGAUCCUUGGUUGUCUGAAUCCUACCAAUGUAGGCAACAAGAUUGAGUUGCUUUGAGGUCAAAUUGAAGCAACUCAGAUCAUGCACCUCAAACUUCAACUCCUUGUUCAAUAUACUUGGAGUUAGGAUGAAUUGAUGGCUAGAUUCGUGCUCCAGUGCCAUUUUACUUUAAAAUAGUCCUUCUUUUUAUUUUAGUGAUGGUUAUGAUUGGACGUCCGGCGAGGCUCGCCUGAGAAGGAGACCGGAGAUUUGCUCCGGUGGUGAGUUGGCGAGGUCCGAGCCACAUGAUCUGUUUGAUUUAAUCUAAUCACGAGCAUUGGUUUGUUGACCUUGUCUGUGGCGCGCUGACUAUAGUCAUCAUGGAUUGCGCGUUUGUGCGCGCACUUGAUCUGUCACCUCAAUUAAUGAGGGAGAUCAAGUGGUCCACGUUUUUUCUGAUUAUUUGAUUUUCAUUUUAUUUGUGUUAUUUUCAUUAAUUCAUAUUAAUUUUAAUAUUGAUCCAAAAAAUAUGGGAAUUUCACCAAAUUUUUUUAAAUAAAUUCCUCUUUCGUUUUCUGAAUUAAAAUUAUUUUUUGGAUCAUCAUUAAUAUUUUUCAUGAUUUAAUUGAUUUUGUGAAUAUUUUUAAUUGUUUAAAAAUAGUUUUAAGUUUCUAAAAAUUAUGAAUUUUUUUCUCCAAGGUCCUUUGACCUUGUUUGACAUAUGAUAAAUCUCAUGGCCAUUUAUUUGGUGUUUUGAUGAGGUUUUAGGAAAAAAUGACCAACCAUAAUUUAAUUUAAUGCAUAUUUUAAUUGUUUUUAAUUGAUUAAAUGCCAAAUAAAUUGUGUUGAGCUAUUUUAAUUGAUUUGCCGAGUUUGACUUUUGUUGUUGGGCCUUGGUCAAGGUUGAUUUGACUUUGUUGAGUUAAGAUCAUUGGAUUUAGGAGAUUGAUGAAAUGUACAUUUCAUCUCUCAAAAUGAAUGAAUGAUCUUAAUUUGGUAAAAGUCCUCCCUUGACCAAUUUGUGUUGAUUCCAUUUCCCCUCCCUCUUCAUCUCACUCGUCUUCUUUAUCUAUUCAUGUCAUGGACCUAUGAUAUCUCUAUAUCCUAAGGCUAGUUGAUUGCAAAAUCAACAUGAGUAUGGAUGAGAUUAGGUCCACCAUUUUGCAUAUUCUUUUUGUGUGUGGUAUAUUUUAUGAGCAUAGUCCAUUAUACUAUGUCUCUAACACACAUUAACACCAAAAUUCUAUUGCCCGACCUCAAAUAGUUGUGACUUCUACAUAAGUCCAAUUACGAUUGCUUAACAUAAUGCUAAAUUUGUGACACAAAAGGCAUAGUAUUCUAGUAAGUGAGAUUGUAAGUCUCCCCUCUUUCAUGGUAUUGUGUGGAAACUUGGCCUUUUUUUCUUCCUUUGGAAGAUGUCUUGGUUUAAGGAUCCAUGCUUGUGACAAGUGGGUUGAGUGUUCUCCAAAGAAUGUCUUCAACAAUACAAAAAGCAAAAGCAAUACUAACUUCUAAUCAACUAACAACUAACAUUUAAUUUCAAGCCAUUUACUUUUAUGUACUCUAAUUUCAAGCCUUUAUUCAUUUGCCAUUAUUCAUAUCAUUCAAUUUGUUUACUUUAAUGUCAUUUUCACUUUGCUCAUUUGAGCCAUACAUUGUGGAUAUAUUAUGCUUGUAUAUGCUUGUUUAUUUUUGUGGUCUCUUGACCUUAAUGUACAUAAUAAGAACAAAAACCCUAAAAAAAACAUUUUGUGUGGACUGUUGGGUUUGAUCUUAGACAUUGGACUUAGAAUUAGGCAACACUCCCUAUGCAAAGGACUUGGCCAAUGCCAACUUUCAUGAAACCAAGGCUUGUGAAGUGAAUUUUCAUCUGAUACAAAUAUUGAAGAUCCAUUUGAGUUCAUCUGCAACAUAAUCAUAUUGAAGCUGUUAUUUUGAACCUGUUUCUAAUGCCUACUUUUGGAAGUCAUCUGAUGCAUGGGAAAUUUUAAAUAAGAUCAUGGAGUUGCUAAGCUUGGAUGUGGCUAUCUUUAUUUGAUGCCUUACUCUUCAUCUGGAUAUUUGUGUAUUGAUAUUGCUUGAUUCUAAAGUCCAAAGGGAAAUUUGGGUUUCUAUAUGACAUUCUUGUCUAUUGGAUUGCAGCCCAUUGGUCAGAUCUUUUCAACUCUUAACUUUUAAAUUUGUGCUUAGGAUUAGUCUCUUCAUCUCCUCCCCAUUUCUUUAAUUUCAAAAUAUCUCCCUCCUUUUUAAAAUUUUCUUUGUUUGUGUUUUCCAAACUUUGACCAUAUUGCGAAUUAGAAACUUUGGCCUUAUGCCAUUGAAUUUUCAAACUCUUUUCUUAAUCAAACUUGUAAAUAAACUUAACUAUACUUGACUUAAAAAUUUCAAAAGCCAAAAAUAACUAACACUCAUCCAAAUCUUUCUAGGCCUCUUGUGCCUUUGUUAAACUUAAACUUUUGUUAAAAGCAAUCCACUCACUUUGAAAUUGAUACCAUGAACUACGAGGUUUUGAUCCCUCAUUUUUAUGUUGGUACGUAGGCACAAGUCCGAAGAUCUUGUCAAACACAAAAAUAUAAUUAAUGAAUUCUUUUCUCAUCCUCACACUCUAUUUAUUGCAAACAUCAUUUUAUACCAAAACACAUGUACACACAAAAAAAGGGCUCCCUAGGAGUACCUAGGACACUUUGGAUGCUAACACCUUCCCUCUGUGUAACCAACCCCCUUACUUGUAAUCUCUGACAUUUUAUUAGUUUUGAUUUGAAAAAUUCUUAUUUUUGGGUUUUGUUCGUACUUUUCCCUUUUCCCUUAGAAACAAUAAAAGCGUGGUGGCGACUCUGGUUUAAUUGACGUCUAGCUUAUCCAUAGCUUGAUGGUCAUGAAUUUACCGCUACAGAAAUUAAGUGGCGAAUCUGCUCGGGAGUAGUCUCUAGUGGGUUUAGCCUACUUUUUUGUGUGUAUAUAAUUGUAUACUUGAUGUAUGUAUAUUUGUUUGUAUGAUAUUAUCUGUUUGUUAUGCUUGGUGAUCUCUGAGUGGUGAGAUAAGUUCUAACCCAAACUUGAGUGCAAUUAAAAUAGGAGGAUGGUAUAGUCAUGUUCGACUUGUGUGGGGUAGUCCUUAACAAGUUGGCUUGAGAUCCACCUACUCAGUGAGGAACCUUUUGGAGUUAUGAAUGUCACACAAGUUAUUUGUGGUUAGGCAUUACUCUCUCUGAUUUGGGGUCUGAGAAGCUGAGGACCGUAGAACAUUUAACCCCUCUUGGCCUAUUUAGGACGUAGUGCGGAGACUGUUCAGGUGUAGACUUGAUAACAGUUGUUACGUGAUACUACACUCAGACGAGUUUCUCUUGAGAAUAUUAUGGGUUGAUGAGUCAGUCAUCCUAACUUGUAAUAUCCGAUAGAUGGAAUUAAGACUCUGGGAACUUUUUAGAACAUGAUCUACAGGCUUUUAUCCUUAGUUCACUCCUUUGGGAUGGUUCUUACCCAGACUCCAUGCUCGUGACUCACAACAAACCCUUGAUUCUUGGUUGAUCCAAUCAAGUCUUGUCAAUAUCAAUGGAACUUGAGUGUUGAUAAGGUGAAAACCAUAAUCCACCAAAAUGGAUGAUUAAUCUUGGCAAUGACUUGAUUCAUCCAUUGGACUUUAUUUGCCUUUGUGUGUGAUUACUUAUUUGUGAUUGUUGUAUUCAUACAUUCAUGCGCAUCAUAACAUUCAUCACACCAAAAAUUUCAAGGAACUGAGGUCUUAUUUGCAAAUAUUUUCAGACCAUGGAUUAUGGACGAAGGAACACUAAGAAGUACAGUUUCAGAUGUCCGGAUUUGAAAGAGUUAAGGAAGCUAACAUCUUUUGUAUUAGAUCCCUUGGACUUCAAGCAAUGUCAUGGGAAACUUUUGUCUAUUUUGUCUGCUGAUGUGGUUGAAGGACUGUUGAGCGUAUUGGUUUAGUUCUAUGAUCCUCUUUACCAUUGCUUCACUUUUCCUGAUUAUCAUCUUGUGCCUACGUUGGAGGAGUAUGCCCAUCUCUUGGGAAUACCUGUUUUUAGAAAAGUGACUUUUAGUGGAUUGGAGGAGAUUCCCAGAUCUCACAUUAUAGCUAAAGCUCUUCACUUGAAGAAGUCUGAGAUAGAGGCUCAUUGGGUGAAGAAAAGAGGAUUGUUUGGAUUGACUUCUGAGUUCCUCAUCAAGGAAGCUACUACCUUUGCUCAAGCCGAUAGUGUGGAUGCUUUGAAGCUAUCUUUGUGUUGCUCAUCUAUGGACUAGCUUUGUUCCCUAACAUUGACGGUUUUGUUGAUGUUAACGCCAUUAGAGUUUUCUUGAUUGGGAAUCCCGUGCCUACUUUGUUGGGUGAUAUGUACUUCUCUUUGCAUCUAAGGAAUUCUAAAGGUGGUGGGACGAUUGUGUGUUGUGUUCCUCUUCUGUACAAGUGGUUUAUUUCGCACUUGCCUUAGACACCUACUUUUGUGGAGAAUAAACAAUGUCUACGAUGGUCUUAGAGACUUAUGUCUCUCACUAAUGAUGAUAUAGUUUGGUAUGAUUCUUCAUUAAGUAGUUUGGAGAUUAUUGAUAGUUGUGGUGAAUUCUCUAAUGUGCCUCUCAUUGGUACACAAGGAGGAAUCAACUACAAUCCUGCUUUGGCUCGUCGUCAACUUGGGUUCCCCUUGAGAGACAAACCUAAUAACACUCAGUUAGAAGGUCUUUUCUAUCAAGAGGGUAAAGAUCCCCAACAUUUGAAGCAGAAGAUUGUGCAUGCUUGGCAUAAUGUGCAUAGGAAAGGAAGAUCCGAGCUUGGUUCGUGCAAUUGUGUAGCUUUGUUCCCCAACAUUUGAAGCAGAAGAUUGUGCAUGCUUGGCAUAAUGUGCAUAGGAAAGGAAGAUCCGAGCUUGGUUCGUGCAAUUGUGUAGCUUUGGAAGCUUACACUCUUUGGGUGAAGAAGAGAGCUUUGGAAUUGAAGAUGCCUCAUGCUUGUGAGAGACCUAUGUCUAUGGUUGUAACUGAGCCAUUAACUCUCCCUAACCAAGAUGUAGAGGAGUUGGAAGACGCACUCGCCAAUAUGAAGCAAGAGAAGGAUAUGUGGGAAGAGCGUUUCCAUGCUUUGAGCCGAAAGCAUGACGAGUUGCAGCUUGGGUCUA